CGUGGAGUAGUCCAGCUGGUAGAACGCCCACCAGCAAGUGGGAGGGCGCGGGUUCGAUUCCCGCCUCCAUGG
This 72-nucleotide transfer RNA is filed under the name Nocardia otitidiscaviarum. RNAcentral describes it as "tRNA-OTHER". It matches the Rfam family "tRNA". Rfam says of the family: Transfer RNA (tRNA) molecules are approximately 80 nucleotides in length. Lineage: Bacteria; Bacillati; Actinomycetota; Actinomycetes; Mycobacteriales; Nocardiaceae. The record is from RNAcentral.